Molecule: ribosomal RNA, 382 nt
Filed under: uncultured beta proteobacterium
Lineage: Bacteria; Pseudomonadati; Pseudomonadota; Betaproteobacteria
Description: bacterial SSU rRNA
Rfam family: Bacterial small subunit ribosomal RNA
Source: RNAcentral
CUGCUUUUGUACGGAACGAAAAAGCCUUGGCUAAUACCCAGGGAUCCAUGACGGUACCGUAAGAAUAAGCACCGGCUAACUACGUGCCAGCAGCCGCGGUAAUACGUAGGGUGCGAGCGUUAAUCGGAAUUACUGGGCGUAAAGCGUGCGCAGGCGGUUUUGUAAGACAGAUGUGAAAUCCCCGGGCUCAACCUGGGAACUGCCUUUGUGACUGCANGGCUAGAGUGCGGCAGAGGGGGAUGGAAUUCCGCGUGUAGCAGUGAAAUGCGUAGAUAUGCGGAGGAACACCGAUGGCGAAGGCAAUCCCCUGGGCCUGCACUGACGCUCAUGCACGAAAGCGUGGGGAGCAAACAGGAUUAGAUACCCUGGUAGUCCACGCCCU